Molecule: ribosomal RNA, 467 nt
Filed under: uncultured bacterium
Lineage: Bacteria
Description: partial 16S ribosomal RNA
Rfam family: Bacterial small subunit ribosomal RNA
Source: RNAcentral
GACGAACGCUGGCGGCGUGCUUAACACAUGCAAGUCGAACGGAAAGGCCCUGCUUUUGUGGGGUGCUCGAGUGGCGAACGGGUGAGUAACACGUGAGUAACCUGCCCUUGACUUUGGGAUAACUUCAGGAAACUGGGGCUAAUACCGGAUAGGAGCUCCUGCUGCAUGGUGGGGGUUGGAAAGUUUCGGCGGUUGGGGAUGGACUCGCGGCUUAUCAGCUUGUUGGUGGGGUAGUGGCUUACCAAGGCUUUGACGGGUAGCCGGCCUGAGAGGGUGACCGGCCACAUGGGGACUGGGAUACGGCCCAGACUCCUACGGGAGGCAGCAGUGGGGAAUAUGGCACAAUGGGCGGAAGCCUGAGGCAGCAACGCCGCGUGCGGGAUGACGGCCUUCGGGUGGUAAACCGCUUUCGCCUGUGACGAAGCGUGAGGGACGGUAAUGGGUAAAGAAGCACCGGCUAACUACGU